Molecule: transfer RNA, 73 nt
Filed under: Actinomycetota bacterium
Lineage: Bacteria; Bacillati; Actinomycetota
Description: tRNA-Lys
Rfam family: tRNA
About the family: Transfer RNA (tRNA) molecules are approximately 80 nucleotides in length. Their secondary structure includes four short double-helical elements and three loops (D, anti-codon, and T loops).
Source: RNAcentral
GGGGGCGUGGCGCAAUUGGCAGCGCAGCGGUCUUUUAAAUCGUUGGUUGAGGGAUCGAGGCCCUCCGCCCCCA